AUAGGAUUUGAAAGGCUAAGUGUGAGAGUCUGUGGCCACUGCAGUGUGAUUAAUGAAAAAAAAUUUUAUAAGCAUCACAAUUGGACUUGAGUUAAUCGAAUCUAUCAUAUGACUGAUGAUGAAGUUCGACGAUUUAUCUAUGACCUGCUAUCUAGUCAGAACUCACGAUAGAGAGACUGAAUCACAUGUGAACUAUACCUUGAGGUUCUAUUUUGGUUCUACUAAAUUGUCACUAUAUACUGCUAGGUAUCACUGAU
RNAcentral lists this long non-coding RNA (257 nucleotides) under Elaeis guineensis (African oil palm). RNAcentral's name for it is "long non-coding RNA (EGUI_LNC069559)". Lineage: Eukaryota; Viridiplantae; Streptophyta; Magnoliopsida; Arecales; Arecaceae. The record is from RNAcentral.